Molecule: ribosomal RNA, 274 nt
Filed under: uncultured bacterium
Lineage: Bacteria
Description: partial 16S ribosomal RNA
Rfam family: Bacterial small subunit ribosomal RNA
Source: RNAcentral
AUACGGGGGAUGCAAGCGUUAUCCGGAAUCAUUGGGCGUAAAGCGCCUGUAGGUUGUUUAAUAAGUCUGUUGUUAAAGACUAGGGCUUAACCCUAGGAAAGCAAUGGAAACUACUAGACUAGAGUAUGAUAGGGGUAGAGGGAAUUUCUAGUGUAGCGGUGAAAUGCGUAGAUAUUAGAAAGAACACCGGUGGCGAAGGCGCUCUACUGGAUCAUUACUGACACUCAGAGGCGAAAGCUAGGGUAGCAAAAGGGAUUAGAAACCCUAGUAGUCC